CCUGGAAGUAGGUUUGACAUGCAUUUUCUAGUUGUAAGUUGUAAUAGGUGAAUUUUCCUUGCAUUAAUACUGCUGUAAGACAAUCUUUGUAGAGGUGCCUUCAUGGUUGUUAUGACUUAAGAAGAAGUUAUCUGGAAGUAACCAUGUGACAGUAGCCCGAUCUGGCUCCCUUUGUUUUAUGUGCAAGAAUUUUCAUUGCUUUCUUUCAGUGGGAUGAUACUCCCAAUGUCAUGGUCGUUUGUCCUGAGAGGCUCACUUAAGAGCUCUUCAUUUACCUCUCUGGAAGGUUUCAAACUGUUGAGGCUAAGAGUUUGCCAGAUGUUUGAAACUGAAGAAAAUUCCUGGCAUCAUACGCCUAGUAACAUCAUUAAUCACUAUUGCAAAAAAAAGCAGAGACCAGGGACACAGUGCCAAACCCUUGUUUGGCUCGAUUAGAUAUUUAUAUAAUGGGUGUGCACAAUGCCUUAUCAAAGCACAGAACUUGCCUUUUCUUCAAUAUAUAGACAUACAAUGCUUCAAGCACUAAGAAAAAAAAUAACAGCAUGAAUACUCUUAUGUGCCAAAUGAUGCUUCAUUUUUUUUCCCUUUCCACAGAGAUUCUGAACUACACUACAGGCUGUUGCUAUUUUAUGGUGAACAAGUAUGGUCAGUCCACAAAAGUACUUCUGCAUCUAGGGUCAAUCCUUUGUGAUAGCUGCCAUGAUAUUACAGUUUAAUUCUGCAGCAGCAGGAAAUGGUAUUCAAAUUUUGCCUUUCUGCUUAGCCCACGUAGAUAUUUAGCCAGAGAUAAUAAGAAAAUACUUUGCAAUUAUGCUAGCUGAGAGUCUAUUAUCCCUUCAAAUACAUGGUCUGCACAGAAGGGAAAGCUGAAAAUACUAUUUCAGACAUUUAGGGUAUAUGUUUCUCUGGCACACUCAUAAUCUGACCAAAGCCAUUAUUUGGAAGUCAGUUGCACUCAAUCAUUUUGCCUGUUAAUGAGGAGUUACUGAAUCCUCCAAGCAUUAAUACCAUUUAUGAAAACACAAAGGCAAUCUGUACCUUGUAUCAAGCAAUUAUAAUAUGAUUGCAUUGAGCCUGAGGAAUUCAAUCAUUUGUUGGAGGUUGUUUUUCCCACAACAGACCUUCUAAAUAGAAUUACCAAGCCUUUCAAAUGUUAAUUUGUUAAGAAAAAUAUAAUGGCUAAUAAAGACAAUUAGGUUUGUAUUGUAAAUACUGGACUGCAGGACUAAAGCUGCCUUGGCUUGUAAAGAAAGUGUGGCAGGACUCUAUAGGACUGCUAAGGCUGGAAGCUAUCUUCAUGACAGAAUAAAAAACAUAUGGAUAUUAACAUCAGUCCCCAAAACAUGUUUUAUCCAAGGUAAAUGUAACACAGGGCCAAAAAAUCUGAGGCCUGAUUUGAGUAUUUUUUUCAUAAAAAUGAGGGUCAGGCAAGAAAUACUGAAGAUCUAAGACACCAAAUGAAAAAAGGCAUUAGCAUUAUGGCACUUAGAAAAAAGCAGAAGACAUUCAGAUAUAAGAGCACCAUAUAUAAAAGAUCGGUACUUUUCACUCUUUACAUUGUACCAUUUGUGCCUUGGCAAGAACACGUUAUUCAUUACUGGGUCUCAGACUUCAUGACAUCUUGGUAGACAUUUUGGAUGUAACACAGAGAAGUUUAGAAUGAGUUUCAAAUAAGUUUAAACUAAAUUUCAAAUAAGUUUAGAAAACAUUAGGUUUGAGGAGUAAACUAGAAAAGAGAAGACUAAGAUGUAGUGAUGGAUAGCAUAGAACAUAGCGUUUGAUACACAAAAGGUGCUGUGAGGAAGGCCGGUUAUUCUUUUCCGUUAUGGUAGAACAAGGAAAAAACAAUCACAUUUUUAGCUAUAAAGAUAUUUGUGAUGUUUUGUUUUUUUUUUAAUUCCUUGUUAUAAAAGUACUGAAGGAUAAAACAGGUAACUGAAGAAUACUGGGAAACCUCUUUCAUGUUUUUAUAAAUUGGUUGGAGAUACAUUUGUAAGGAUGACCUUGGUAUUUCUUGCUUGUCUAUGUCCAGAAAGAAGUGAUACAGUUUCUUGAAGGAUAUUCUUGGUCUGUUUGCAGGUGGCUUGGGCAAAUUUCUUUUAAAUUUUUUUUUUUUUUUUACUCUCUGAUUGCUACAAAAAAAAUCUUAGGCUGAACUGUCAUUUGUUUAUUAAAGUAAUCCCUUGUAGUUACUGUCUUUGCAACAAGCAAUUUUUUCUCCAAGAUAAAUGCUCAUAAAGAACAUAAACAAACCAGAGAAACCUUUGAAACCAUUUAGGAACAAAUUCAGCUGUAUGUCAAGAUCUAAUUUUAGGAACUCAGUGUCUCAGGUGGCAUGGAAAACCACAAGUGAAUUUUUUUUUCCAUCAGCACCUGGAUAGAAAUUUAUAACACAUGAAAAUGUCAGGACAAUUAUUCAUUCUUCAGUUGCUAGUUCAAUUAUUGCAAUGCCUUUUGCAUAGGGCUGUCCAUACAGGUCAUACAGAAACUACAGUCAUAAAUAUCAAAUAAUACUCUCUAUCCUUCCCCUACUUUUUUUUCUUUCCCAUUUUUCCCAACUCUAUUUGGUUAUUAUUUACCAUGCAGUCUCAUAUGAUGGCUUUACUCUGUAAACUGUUUAGGUCCUCAACUAGUUCAAAAAAUUUCAUUUUUCAAUGUACUUCUGGUGCAACUGUGGUGCUGAAAUUUUCAGCCACCAAAUUUAAGCAGUCAGGGUCUAUGCUUAUUUGGACCAGUAAGUUUAAAAUACCUGAAAAGUCUUUAGGUCUGAGUUCAGAGAUAUCCAAGUAAGUUUUGGGAGGGAAACACUGAUAGCUUUUCUUUCUCCUUUACAAACAAACAAAGAAAAGUGUAUUUUGAUUUACUCCCUUUUAGUAUUUUUCAUUCAGAAGGCAAACAUCAUUUAUAUAACCAUGAGGUAGAGCUAAAAUGUAAUAGUGAUUAUAAAUCAUGGAGUCCUUGAUGUCUGCAAGUUUGCACUCAUGUUUGUAACUUGUCUAGUCACAGCUAUACUGUUAAAGAAGCUGUUUACUUGUCCUCAAGAGUGUGCAAAACUAGACAGAAGGUUUCCAGUGCUCAGUGCUUCCGUUUCAUCCAGAAAUAUUGUGAGAAAAGAUCUCGAGGUUGUUUCCGCACUUCCUCUUUCAGUUGCACGUGGAACUGAGGAGUACAGGGAAGUGAGCGAAUAAAAAAUGAGCAAGAGAAGGGCUCUGUUGCAGCUGGAAAGAGCAGGAAAGAGGGAGAGGAAAUUAGUGCAGCCUAUGCUAAGGAUUGGAUAGGUGCGAGGUGCCUUGUUUCCUCCUGUGACUCUAGAGGAACACUGGCUUGUCUUUCAGCCAGGCAAGUUGAGUUAAGGUGAAACCCAUCCCUUCUGGCCAUGUUUACUGCCUGCAGCACCUCUAAGUGAGGCCCUUUCAGUAUGCAGAGAUCAGGAAAGAAUCGUUGAAAACUGUAAAAGUGUGAAGCCUGCCCUGUAAUCUCUUGUAUCUUCACUAUUGGUUUGUGUUAGCAGAAGAAACAAGCAGCACACCACACUCCUCAGGCAAGCAUAUGUAGAGAAAAUUCAAGCCAAAUGUGAAAGGUACUCUACAAAUUAACUGGAUCUAAAUCACCUUUUUUUUUUGUUUUGUUUUGUUUUGUUGCCACAGAGAUCUUAGAUAUUUUUGAGGCUGUUCAGCCUUUUCCAAGGUUAGAUUUAUGUCUAGACAAAGAAGAAAUACUGCCAAUAUAACACAUGCUUAUUUCAAACAUGGGUGACAAAAGAUCAGCUCUCCCCUGGUUGUGCCAGACAUCAAACUGCUCUUCCUGAGUAUGAGAACAGGAAGAGAUGAAAAAGGCUGCAUAUGUGUCAUGAGACCACUUUAAUGACAAAUGAGCAGUUGUCAUUGUCCUUGGUAGGAAGCUGAGCAGGGACUGCUGAGGUGUGCCUGACGUAUGAGUCCCCACUUACCAAGUGAGCUCUGACCCCACAGUCAGGCUGGUUAUUUCCAAUUAUUGAUCCAUGCAGCUUACAUGCACAACACUCAAUCUUUUUCUCAAUCUUUCCCGUCCCCCACCCCCGCUCUAAUUUGCUGCUAUCACAGGUGUUGUGUCUGCAUACACAACUCACUCUGACUUCCAAGGACAUGAGCAAGGUCCACUUUCUCCAUCCUCCAUCGUGUGGAUGGAUACCAACUCUAAAUGUUACUGAGACCCCAUUCCGUUGUUGUGGCUCACACUGAACAUCCCAGCAGGGGAGCAGACCCUUCUUAGGGUCAUUUGUGUCACCAGCUGUGCUUACGUCAGUGACUUUACAUGCAUCUCUGUGGGAAGAACACCUGAGCUUAAUAAAUGUAAGUCCAGCAUGAGGAAGGAAAUUACUUGGGUCUUUCUGCUUCUCUAUGAGCAGUUCUGGCCUUACAGGUAUUAUUCAGGAUAAGUAUGGCUAGCAGAUUUGAAUCCUGUAAAACUGGAAUUCACUGCAAUAAACCAUCUACCAAUAAUAAUUUUUACUCUUCUUCCCUGUCUGCAUUCUAAGGCAGAUAACUAUGUUGCUUGUGUCCAGGUUUUACUCGUUAAAUAGUGUGAUAACGGUGUUGCUGUCACUUGUUUGCUGUCGUAAAAUAUGCAAAUGUUGUGGAAUGAGGAUAUGAAAUACAUGUAUGCAUGUCUUUGUGUUUAUAAGGGUGCUUUUACAGAUAGAAGAUCAUUUGCUAUCCCUGAAGCAGUGUUUUUCCCAGUCCCUAGUCCUGUUAUCUAAGUUAAACAGAAUUAGCUUUGUAACAACACAGUACAUUAUCUAUUAGUAUAACACAUAAUUUGGAAGAAGAUCUAACAGCCUACUUCCAACUCACCAGAGCUAAUAGAUUCAGCAAUCUGACUUGAUUCAGCCAUAAUUUUUGGCACUAUUGACAAAAAAAUUUAAAAUCCAACAUUGGGAGUAGGCAUUUGGCUCUAUUGUUAUUCACAGAAUAUUGAGGCCCACAAUUAGGUACUACACACUGUUAGCUGGGUUCUCAUCAUCAGAUCGGUAGAGAAGUUGAGGUAUAAAUUUGUCCUUCACUGUUCAAGGUGUUCUCUUCUGUUUGUCCAAUUUGUGAUGCUACUUCAUUGCAAAUGACAUUUUCAGCUGAUAGGCUUUGUUAGCACUUCUAAGAUGAAAUCAUAGAGUGCAAUAAGUUACAGAGCUCUAAUUAAUCUGUAGCUCACUGCAGGACAAUGACCAAUACCACCCACUAGGCCUGGAGACAAAGGUGCUCUCCCAGCUUCACUGGACUUGAUGAUGAGAACACCAGCAGCUGUGUCGGUGUCAUCAAAGAGACCUGAGACUGUUUUCUGGCUCUAAAAGUGAGUAACAUGGCACAGCUUGUGCCCAUAUCUAGAGCCUUCCCCAUGCACCAGGCAGGGCAACCACAUCCAAAGCACCUGAAAGAAAUGUAUGGUUUGGGUGAUUCUUGAUUAGACAUUAGACUCAUAGAGUUGUAGAACAGUUUGGGUUGGGAGGGACCUUUAAAGGUCAUCUACUCCAAUCCCCCAGCAAUAAGCAGGGACAUCUUCACCGAGAUCAAGCUGCCCAGAGCCCUGUCCAACCUGACCUUGAAUGUUUCCAGAGAUUGGGCAUCUAUAAACCUUGACUUUCUGCUCAGGACAUUUUUUAUUUACUAAUAAAGACAUUGCUGAUGAGAGCUGCAUCAGACCCAAAUAUUGAAGUAGUUUCCCAGAGAAACAUAAAGCAUAUGAUAAACAUUUCUGUUCAAGUAAUAAGUCAAGAGAGUCACAUCUAUCCAACAGCACUAAAAUGUCACUCCUGUUUCUGCUGGCCUUCAGAGAUGGCAUAGCACUGGACUGGGAAUUAAUAUCUGUUCCUUCACUAAAAUAAUGGAAGGACAAAAUCUGAAAAUGCUGAGCUUGCACAAGUCGAACAAGAACAUACUUUUGUUUUCAAGUUUUUUUAAAACAUUAAUAUAAAACCUUUUACAUAGAUAAUCACAGUAACUAAAGACACACAUUUUAUAUUCAAUUUAAAAUUCAGUUUUGGGGCUCGCAGUUCAACUCUAAUUUCAAAAUCAAGUAACUAUGUAUAGAACCAGUUCAGAAAGUAUAAUUAAAAAAGAGUCAGAGAAGAUGCAUGCUAUAAGAACAGGCUGGACAGCACAGUUGAGAGGUUAUAAGAGAAAAUGGUUAUAUGAGAACAAACUGGCUGAGGCAGUAAUUGGAUGGUCUGAAUUUUAAGAAACUAGAACAAGUAUGGAGUGAGAUAAGGCCUUUCAAAUACUGCGUGACCUCAGAUGUUAGUGCAGAAGCAUUUUUGUCGUGUCACUGGAGUCACAGGAGCUGCAGUCUCAGAUGAUGGAAUUGAUAAUUAUAUUUGUGCCAGGAAGCUAUGCUUUUUAAUGAGUUUACCGUUCUUCUCAUACUAUUUUUUAAAAAGCUAUUCAUGCUUAUUAAGUAAUUGAUAGAGGACAACCAGGAGCAGGGCCAGGCUGUGAUAGUCACCGUACCAAGAGAGAAUUUCUAGGCUGAAGAAAGUUACCUAAGAAUAGCAUCAAGAGCAGUCCUCGUUUCCAUGUGAUGCUGAGAAGCAGUGGGUACCUGUGCUCCCUAAACAAAAAGCAGCGAUGUCCCCUCUUUAGCACAGUAUUUAACAAGGCCUGCACAGCUAGCACUGUGCCAAAGAGAGUCCACGAGGGUGUCACUCAGGGGCCAACGAGAAUCCACGAGGACAAGAACGAGUUACGAACCCUUUCUUCUUUCCUGCCUCUCCCUCACUUCUGGCUGGAGGGAGAAGAACUUUUCUAGUUGUGAUCUAUAGCCUGAGAUUCUCUCUCAAAUGUAAGGGCCUUACGUUGUUGCUUUUGAGGAAAUGAGCGGGUCUUGCUUUUUUUCUUUCAGCAUGGUUGAGAAGGUGGGCUGAGUGUAGGUGAUAUGACUAUGCAGUACAGUAAUGGCUGGAGUACCCAAUGCAAUGGGGAAAUUCUGGAGUUCAGUAAUUUUUUUAAUUGAGGAGGUAUAACCUACACAUCCUAUACACCCCAGAAAGUGGACUAAAACCCAGGUGAAGGAUGCUCUCUGUCCGGACUCCUCUCUGUUCCUACUGCUGAAACUGGGCUUUAUGCUAAAAAGAGGCAAUCACAGCAGUCUUUCUAUUGCUGGAGGUGUUUAUCAGAAACUGGUGACUCUUGUGACAUUCUGUGAGGAUCUUCACCAGCUGCGUGGGCAGUGAAUGUGCCAAACCAAGGGUGAUCCCAUCCCACAGCUCUUUGUCUGCUUGGGUGAUCCUGGGUCUGGGUGCAAGAGCUGCAUCAAGUGACUGGUUUUCUCAAAACUGAGGUACUUCGGAGCAUGACCAACUGCAAAUCUUUUAGGCAGGUGGGAAACUUUAAAAUAAAAUUAAAACCAAACCAAAACAAAAUGAAACAACAAACCUGCAAACACUUAACUAAAAUACAUCAACUUGAUGGGUAUUGUUUCAACACUGGAAUGUUUUCCUGGAUUAGGGCCUCCAAGAUUUUACAGGAAAUAUCCCAAUACUUCAGGUAAACUAUCCCUUAAAAUUCACUAAUGACCAAUCACUAUACACAAUCUAUUAUUCUAAUAAAGUCUUUAUUUGCAUUAAAAUAAUGUGAAAGAAAUGAAGUGUUGGACUGUGCACAGUGUUAUUUUUAAGAGACUGAAAUGGGGAAAUGAUGGUGUAUGGUACAAAAGGAAAUGCAAAUAGAUUCUGAGACAAUUCCUGGAAUUUCUGAUUUAUGAAGUAUUUUCAUAUAUUGAGGUAUGAAUAACUACUAGAAUGGAUACUGCAAAUCACUAUUUGUUAUUGGUGAUUUUAACAAAUAGAGGAACUACCGUCUUAUUUCUGGUAUAAGAUUCAGGAAAAUGUACCGUCGGUAAAUCAGAAUACGAUGACAGCCCCUAAAGGGGAAGUGGUCACUUCUUGUAAAUCGUCAGAUUUUUAGCUUCCUUUUUACAAUCAGCUCCUUCUAGCAAUCUUACAAAUGCAGAACAGAAGUGUGAUUUCCUGUUAUCUAUUUUUUUUUUCUUAAUUUUGAGAACAAAUUGACCACAAAUACUUAACAUUCUUGUAUGACUUUCAUUGCUGAUGGUGGAGAAAAAAAAAUAAAACACAUACAUUCAGCUUCUUCUAUGGCACAUACAACAGCACUGGGAAUGUUUGUGGAGCAGAGUCAUAAUUUGGCUCCAAAGACCAAAAGAAUAUCUAUUCAGCCUUUGGGCAUUAUAUAAUCUAAAGAGGGACAAGUGAGAUUUCAAAAGGUAAGACUUCUCCCAAAUUUCUGCUUUUAAUUAACUGAAACUCAAUGUGAAAGUUCCUUUCAUUUCCUUUCCUCCCUUUUUCCUGUCAGUCUGGGCACGUUGAAUGCUGCACCAGCACUGAAGAAGAAGCUGUUUGUCAUCAGUCUCUGCAGAAUGCUGCCAUUAUGCCUAGUAACAUUGGUGUAUUUAUCACACUGGGUAAAUUGGUUCUGUCACCACUGGAUGCUGUUCACCUUCUUUCUAAUGUGUUCUUUCCACUCCACUCCAAAUAGACCAAGCAGCCGUUUUGUGAUGUCUGCUCUUCUUGUUGAGACACAAAUGCCCCAACUACACAUCAAUAGAAAUGCUUGGGACACCUUUUCCAAACAUACAUCUGUUUUAUCACAGGGAUUACCACAUUUCCAAGAAGGAUUUUUUCCCAAAUUUGUGGCAGAAAGUUUGGUCUAACUGGCUUUACUGAUGUAAAAUAUUUACUGAAACAGCAAGGCAGAAGGUCCUUUAUUGCAUGUCAUUUAGGUUUGGGUUUGCUUGUGGUUUUCCAGUGUAAUCUCUAACUGAGGAGCUAAGAUCUACAGAGAAGACCUGAAAGUAAUGGAAACAACAUUUACUAGGAGUGGGCUAAAUAGCUGGCACUCUCUGAGGAUCUGCCCAAGUUUCCCCUACAUUCUUCCCAUCAAUAUUUUGUUAGGUGAUGCUUCCAGCAUCCAGGCACACCAGUUCAUUUCAGACCACGUAGGUUGGAGCCCGUGUUACACUGCAGGGCAAAGAUACAGCUGAUAAACACUUGCCUUUGUUCUCUUGGGAGAGAGCAGGAAAAAGAUCUCCCACAAUUCAUGGAGGAAAAAAUAAUGGGGUGCAUGUAUUCAGGUGUUUCUCUGUUUAUACAGUGGCUCAAUUGGAUGCUGCCCAAAGGGGCAUAAGCUAUGUCAAAAAUGUCCGAAAAUGACAUUGUAAACAAAUAUAGCAUGAAGAUUUGGGAAAAAUAAAAUCAAUUUUAACAAUGGUUUUAAGACUUCUGCUUAAAAUGUGAACUAGAUCUGCUUUGAGGCUCAAGAAAAUUUGAUUGAACUCUUCCCUACCUCUCCUUGUCACUCGCUAGUUAUCUUUGUCUGCUCUUACAUUUUCUGGUGUUGAUCAGAAGCAGAAGUAAAAUACUGAUGUGCUGAAAUAAAUGUUACUCUGAAACUUUUUUCCUCAUCUUAAUACAAAUAAGGAAGUGCCAGAAAUUUCAUUUGAAAGACAACUGUUGCAAAAUUUCUAACACAAUUUUGCAGACCAAGGAGAUCAAAAUACAGAAGUUACAGAUGAAGAGCUGUUGUUUGGGUGCUUAUUCCAGCACAGAACUUGUGAAAAUAUCCAACCCUAGACAGUGUAUUUUAAGGUUUAAGGUUUUAGAAGUUCAUCUUAAUAUCCCCAAGGUUCUCCAACUGUGAAUUCAAAUAGUUGCUUUACUUCUGGCAGAGGGUAUCUCUCUCACAAAUAGCUUUGAAUGGCUAUCAUCUUGAUAAUAUAUGAAUAUUUGGAGUAAUUGCUAGUCAUGCUAGUGAGAUAACUGUGAAAACUGAUCCAAACUGUGAAUUUGAUGUUGCGCUCCCCAUCACUAUACUGAUACCUAUGAAAGAAAAGAUAGUAAACAAGUUUGCAAUUUUAAACGAUUUUAACAUAUUGUUGCUACAAUUUAUUAACCGUUAAAAAAUAUUUAUACUCAAUUGCUAAUGAGCAACAGAUGCACACACUCUGUGGAUCUCUGCAAAAAAGCUGCCAACACAAAUUACUUUAAUCCUAACAGGAGUAAAAUAUCAAGUCCCUAACAUACUGUGUAGGGAAACUGGCAAAAAAUUAUUCCUGCCCACAUGGCAGACAUCAUUGCCUUCAUUCUGUAAGAAAUAUAUGUAAGAUAAAGUAAAAUGUGAUACUCAACAUUGUGAAGAUGUUGUAACUAAUCAUUGCAGUGCUUACCGUGGCAUCUUUGUUGUUUCUUAAUUCAAGUAAGUAAUAUUGUCUUAUUUUUUUAUUCCAAAAUGCACACUUUUUUUUUGUUAUUUUGAAUAAUUUCAAACAGCUAUGAAAUGCAAGUGCUGAGUAACUUAUAGUCUGUCUCUAGAGCACCAGUGGCUAAUCCUGCAUCAGACCUUCCAGGGCCCUAAGCUAUAGCCUGAACACACCGUGGCACACCGUCGUGAUUUCAGUGCUGGAGGUUGGGCUGUGAUGGACAGUAAUGUCCUCUUAGGCAUCAACAGCUGUAGAGAGAUUGGUUUUCAUAUAUGCUAGUGUAAAUGAUUAUUGAAUUAUGUCUUUCAUGGCAAAGACCCAGUUAUCUAAUGAAGUAGGGAAAAAUGACACAACCUACAGCUUCAUAUAAUGAGUGUUUCCUGACAGAUUCUGCCUUUGUAUGUCAAAAAUGUUGUUGUCCUCCCAUAUUCUUUCAGUCCACAGCUACUGUAUAUUAUUAGCCACUGGUCAUAGCAACAGUGUGACAAAUGCUUCACUGACAUGAGAAAAAACACAGAGGCAUGUGAAGAAGUCCCAGUGUAUGAGACAAAAUAGAGAACAAACCAAAGAAUCCUCCGAAAAGGAGAGAGUGCAGUGAGAAGUCAUUCCUAAGGCAAGAUGGGAGGAAAAGUGGACGGAAAGGAAAUCUUGACUUAGCUACAACAGGAAAAGGAAGGAUAAUUAAGGAGAAGAUAAAAGACAGGAAGGCAUCACAGUGUAUCUUGAUUACUUUUUGCCUGGGAAAAUCUAGUCUGGAAAGAAGAAAGAUGUUACUUUUUCACGCAUGUGUGCGGGGUUGGCUGCUAUGAGCAGUGAGCGCUAAAUGACACCCGUGUGUAGUCAGUGCUGUUUACAGUCUAGGCACAGAAAAGGUUGCUUGCUGGCCUUAAUCCUUACCAGAGAAUUUAAUUUCUUCCUACGCAUAUCAUGCCAUUUUUUAAUGAGUUGCUGUGGGUAUUGUAGAUACAGACCCCAGCAGGACAGUGUUAGCCAGCCAUUUGUGUUCUGGUGGGGUGGAGAAACCACACACAGCUGCAUGCCUUCGGUGUGGGGGCUACCAGGGAUCUGGCUUUGAGGAAAGUCAAGCUGAUCGCAGCUCUGUGGAGUUACAUCCUUCCUGGUGUUAAAUGAAGGAUGAGCUCUGAAGCUCGUGGAAUUAACUAGUAUUUUGUUUCUUCUGGAGAGAAUUUAAAGGCAAGGUUGUCUGUGUGCAGCACCUGGAUGCUGGGUCAGUGAACACCUUCAGUGGUCACUGUGAGAAGAGCUGGACCAGUGGAGAACUUGAUUUGCCAAAAUCUUCUUUAUGUUGCUGGUACUAAACAAUGGGUGUUUGGCUUAUCUACUUUAUUUAGGCUCCUUUGCCACCAACAAGAAACCCCUGGAGCCUGGCUUGAAGGAUAUUGUUAAUGGCACCCAUAUAGAGAUGAGCGCACUCGGUAUUUGUGAUUUGUUUCUAUUUCCUCACUAAGUCUUCUAACUAAACAGCUCUGUAGGCAAGAAAAAGGAGAGAGAUCACAUUUCACUAGCACUGGUUUUGGCAGAUUCUGAGUUGGAGAGAGAGCUAAACCGGUACGUGUCACUAGUUAGAGAGGGCGGGGAGCGAGGUACUGUGUUUCUGUUUUUCACCUCAUCUGGGAUGUAAAAUGAUGAGGAACAGAUUUAGAAACAAUUGCCUCCUUAGCUUUCAGCUACUCCAUUAAAGGUGUGCUUUUGAUGAUAGCCAGCACUGCUCGGCAAAUAAGAAGCAGUAUAUUGAUAUUGGCACCAUACAUAGACCAUUAUAGUCUCCAUACACAAGGAGCAAAGCAGAUGUUUUCAGCUUAGUCACCAUACUUCCCCUAAUGUUAAUGGAGAAAUAAAACCUUUGACUGUUGGAAAGCAUUUGUUCUCAGGUUUGAGCACCUUACAGUUUUCUUCAGGUGACGAAUUUCUUAUAUAAAAAAUGUAAUAUGUAGAUCUAGAAUCUAGCUGUGUAGUCAUUGUCCAUUAAAUACAAGGCAUUUUGUAGUCUAUAUUGUAAAAAAAAUAGGAUAUAAGAAAGUAUUUUUAUAAAUAAGAAAUACAUCAAUUUCUUGGUUCUUUUGUUUCAUGAAUUAAACUAAUAGCUAUUCCUCAUAUUUUCAAGUGAAGAUGUCAUAUAGCUUUUAUGCAGGUCUCAGACGCAAAAUAUUUUUAUUUAUAUACUUUGUUUUGCAGCAGUCAAGAGAUGGGUGAUGUUCAUUUCACUGAUAACAAAAUGCUUGCACAAGGUCUAUUAGUAGUUUCUGAAUUAUCCAAAAAAGUUUACAGGACACUUUCUUGUUCCCAUCCCAGUUUAGUAAACAAAUCUGCUUUCAUUUGGAGAAAGAGUGUGUGGGGUGUGUGUGUAAACAGAGAAAGAAAAUGUUCUGAAGUGUCAUGUCUUUGUCUAGGUCACUGCAACGUACUUUGUAGCAGCUGAAAGCAGUUGUUGCAAGCAACUCUUGCAAAAACUUUUAACAGACACUUGGCUGGAUAAGAAAGAAAAAGAGGUUUAGAAUGUCAUCUACAGUGGUGAUCAAUAUUUUGCACUUUUAGACUUUUUCUCAAGUCUUGGAUGAUUUUUUAUGAUGCUGUAGUAGUUUCACAAGGUUAGCGGAGUCAGCUUUGGAGUCCUGGGCAAAUUCCAGAUGGCACAGCACGUACCAACACUGUACUGUUAAACACGCACAUUAUUUCUUGUCCAUACUGUUUUCUGCACUGCUCUUCUACGAAACUCUGUUCCAGAGGUUUCAUUUCUAAGUCAUAUGAUCCCUCUGAUAUACAGUUCAUAAAUCAAUUUGCAAAAUAUGGUGAGCGCCUUGAUUUAUUGUGGGUUAGAGGUGAUGUAUAAAUAACCAUCUUUUUUUUUUUUUUUUUUUUUUUUUUUUUAAAUUUCAGGGCCAGCACUGUCACGUUGCUAAAUGAAUUACUUUUAUAGCCUAUUAUUUUGCAGUGCCAUGUCUGAGAAUGUAAAUCAUCCAAAUCUGCUGGACGAGCUUUCUCCCCGCUCAGUAAAGGUGUGUGGGACACAUCAGUAUCAGCAGCACCAGGGAGCGAGUUGCAAAGCCCUUGGGCAUGGGACUGGCCUGCAUUUGUCGAGAUUAGUAUUGACAUUCCUAGGAAAUAUGUGUGUUAAGAAGGAACUGAUUGAAGGCUGCUGGUCUUUCGGAGAAAAGGACCAACAGAAUACCUAAAAGAAACAAGAUAUGAGAGAAGCUUAGAGACGUAUGUGAAAGGAAGUUUUGGAAAGCUACUGAAAGCAGUACACUUAAGGAGCCCAGAUAUCAAUGUCUGAUGACAGCCUGACAAGUAGAAGCUUUUCAACCUUGUCAAGUUUUGAGAAACUAAGGGGGAAAAUAAGCUGUCAUGACUGUAAAUAAAGCGCAUUUAAAGCAAUUGCUGAUUCUUUAGCAAAGAAGACAAUUGUGCAUUAGAUUUGAUUUCUGAUUAAAAGGAAAUUACUGGAAGAUGUUUGGGCAUAGGAUUUCUAAUAAAUCAAGUGUCUUGGAUCACAAAAGUAGCGAAGUUGAUGUAUUCUCAAGAAAUAUAGAAAUGGAAGACUAUUUCUUCACCUGUUCACCUGCAAAGGGGUGUUGGACCUUUGCCAGGCCAGCCUCUCUGUGUCUGGCAGAAGUAAAAAACCAGUAUCUUCCCUCUCGGCUAGUUUUCUGAGGUUUCAGUUCUGAUCUCUUCCCAGCAACUGGGGACCAAAUCUAGGAGUGAAGACUAAAAUGGUGCAGAUGAUGGGCUCUUCAUGGCUGGGUGGCUACCGAUAUGAAAACCCAGAAAAACAACAGGAAAAACCACUGCAAGAUGGGCUUUUUAAGUUCACGUAUCAUCUCCCUUCUCUAGUCACUCCUUGUCCAGCUAAACAUCAAUCACCCUGCCAGUCGUGCUUCUGUUAUGAUCAUGAGGAACCUGAUAUUGCACCCUGAAGGCAAAAAUUACUUUCUUGAAUCAAUUUCAAAGGGAAUAUGUGUGGACAUUUUGAUUGCUCUACAUAGACGCAGGCACAAAUGCUUGCAGAUGUGCUUACAGGUAUGUGCCAGUGCUGACUCUGCCCCUGAGCUUGUAUUGUCACCUCAUUUAAUUGAUAACCUUCUCUUAGAGCUCAAACAAGCCAACUGUAGUUGCCUUAAGAAGUAUGGUCUUUCCUACCUACUUAUUCGCUAAACAGAUCUAUUGCAAUGUGUGACUGCUAGAGAAGACAUUUAACAGAGCUGAAAUUUUUGGUCCUACUCUCAAUACAACCCUCACAAUAUUUUCUUUCCAACAUACAUAUAAAAUCUGUAGAGUAUUUCAACAUUUUACUUCUAGCUUUAGCCAGUAUUAAAUGAAAUAUAUCUUGGCCAGAGGAGAGCCAAGAGGAAAACGGUCAGUUUACAGUUAAAGAAAAAAAGUUAGAAAGUAACAUUUUGGAAACUGGUCUUUGUAACAUGAACACAUCAAACACAUUUCACAACAUUAAAACUGCUAUCACUGGAAAAUGUUAGCUUAACAGAUAUGUUUAUUUAAGUGAUUUUCAACUUUGUCUGUGAAUAUAGAUUGCAAGUGCAAGAAGAAUGGUACGGAUAGCAUUUUACUUUUGUUUAGUUUAUCUUGACAUUUCUCAUAUCUAAUUACUGGUGAAUCAAACGAGAUCAGACUAAAGAACACAUGAAAAACAAGAAUAAAAGUUAAAACCUUGUCUGAGAUUUUUUUUUUUUUUUCUGUUUGCUUUGAAUGCUUAAGCACCUGAAGACAAUGUUUAAACACCUUGAACACCAGCCCAAAUCUAUGGCAUACAGAGCCAUAUGGCAUACUGAGCCCUUCUAAAUUACUCCAACACCAUAUUACAGGGACUACUUUAAGUCAGUCAGACCUAGAAGCCAGGUUACUUUGCUUCACUUUCCAGUGGAUAAUAUUAGAUUAUAGGUCCUGCUGGUUUUUAACACUGCACAGACACCAAAAUUGUAUCUGCAGCACGUUUCCUCUAUCUUGGGGGAAAAAAAACCCAAACAAACAACCGAACAUAAAAUACAACAAAACCAAAACCACACCAUGCUUCUUAGAAAUCCUAAGAUACUUCUAGAUCAAACAGAUUAAACAGUUACGAAUCCUUAGCAGCAUCUCAGACUAAUUUAUGCAAUGCUGUUAAGAGUAUUAGCUGUUGUGAGUUUUAAUGACUGCUAGAUUCUGUUUCUUAGUCUAUGAGUGAAAUCAUAUGACAACGAUUGUCCUACAUACACAUAUGCAAAAAGAUUCUCAGUUAUUUGCAUUAUAAGGUCAGAGUAAGAUAAAGGAUAACUAUUGAUUUGAUUUCUCAUUAUUAUAUAUUAACAGAUAAUAUUGGACAACAUGUUUAUAUUUUAUUUAAAAUAAAUGUGGGUGAAUAAACGGGUGGUAAAAGGCUGGUGUGCUAACAAAAUUGAAUUUUGGCUAAGGAGGGCACUUUUAAAUUAGCUCUGUUACCUUGAAAUCAGCAGAACAUUUGUCUGUGACUUCAGUGGGCUUUGAGUCUGUCCGUACUUCUAGUUAUGGCAUGGGCUGCUUUAAUUCUGGCAUGCGGCCUAGCACUCUCAAGGACUUCGCAACUUUUUUUCCCAGCAUCCAGUAUUUCUAUAUUUGUUCAAUGUUCUAGCCUUUCUGGUGUUUAAAGCUCUCCUAAUUUAUUUAUUUAUUUAUUUAUUUUCUAAUUUAAUCUUAAGGGAAAAAAAUUCUUGCCUGAAGUCCCUUUUUGCAUACUGGGGAUCAGAACUCACGAAAGGCUAUUUCACAACAAUUCAGUUUUUUGUCCAGGCCAUUGACUCAAUUGCUAAGGAUUUUCAUGAGCCUCUGUCCACCCAUUCCAUCUCCUCAUAACCCAGAGUUGCGUUAGAAGAAAAAGCCACGAGGAGCAAUAAGUAUUGCCCAGUUUGUACAUCUGUAAUAUGUGAAGCCUCCAUCCUAAUAUGAGCCACUAUAAUAAUUGUCUGUGUUAAAUAUUUCAGUUGUGUACAUUCUCUGAACAAGGCAUUUUUCCUAAAUGUUGUUUCCCAGUUGUUGUGGCUAGGAGCUGUAAACCAUGGGCUUUCAGUUACCAAGAUGUGUGAUGAGGUUCUGAGGAGCCUUUCAUUAAGCAUUUCCCAAUAAUGUUAGCAACUGUAGCCAAGGAAGCAGUUAAUUUAAUUUUCCUUGUUCAAAUACACUAUGACAGGGGAUUAUUCUUAAAUUUAAUUGUUCCUUGUGGAAAUGAGGAGAAAAAGACAGGGAUGGAGUUACAUGAACACCCUCCCCAGAAACUUUGUAUGUGGUGUGUGUUUCUGCUGUCUAUUUUUUACACUGUACAUCUGCAGCUGAAUUUUACGUAGUCUGUCUUUAUCGUUGAUUGUCGUCACAGGCCCAGUGCAAGGCAACCACAGAGGAAGUGGAAUAAGACCCUAACAAGGUAAAAAUGAGUAUAAAUACAUAUUAGUUCUUCCAAGGUACCUGGAAGCAAAGUAAUAUAUGUCCAUCAUACUCUGCUCUCUUUAUAUCACUGUCUUUUGAAGCCAGGCAUUUUAUACAUCAGAAAGUAUGGUUAACAACGAUAAUUACAAUAGGUUUUAAUUAUUUUGAAGCCAAAGCAAAGUUAGUAACCUUAGAGUUAAAACAAAAAAACUGUGUAAACACUGAAAGUCUUUGUGCAGCUCUGUUUGUCAUACAGAUUAAGCUUAGUGGGUUGUUAGAGCUGUACAUGUUGUCUCCAUCCUGUUAAAUGCUAGUCUGCCACAAACUAUGCUUUAUAGGAGUUGUAAUUUGAUAAUGUAUAUGCUGCACGCUAAAACUUAAAACUGGGUCAUAUAGGCUCAAACCCAGUGUGGGUUGCUUCUUGCUAUUUCCUUCCUAAAAAACUAUGGAAAAAUUUCCAGGUAUCAGUUUUCCAAGACAUUGAAGAGUAAAAACUGAAAAAUAAAAACAAAGAAAGAAUAGGCUCAACAACCCUAAACUCUCCUUCUCAAGCAGAAAAUCCCUCCCAGAUAAAAAUGCUCAGAGAUUUUUAGUGUAAACCAACACUGGGCAGUGUGUGUCUUCUGAAGUAAUCUGAAAAGUCAUCUGAAAACUAGCUUUGAUUUCAAGUAUGAGCUAAUGUGCAAGUUAUAAGGUAAAGCCUUUGAGUAUUGGCUCAUUUCAAUUAUAGUGUUGAAGCCUUUGCUGAAGCAAAGGCUCAAGAAUGUGUUGUAGCAGAGUAUUUUUCUGUAUGGUAGGGGAAAAGGUUAGGCAGAAUUCCCCUGAGCUAUAAAAAGUCCCCAAAUAACUACAGAGAUAUCAAAAUGUCAUCAGGUUGUUAUACUUCAAAUUAUAAACAGGUGAUCCAGUGAUGUGAUGCAGAAAGAGUUCAAGUCCCUGAAUUUCAGACCAGGAGUCUCUUCAUUAUUUACUACUAAUUAUGUUGAACUGUGAGCUAUAUUUAAAUUAAGAUUGUCCUGAACUCUUUCUGUUCUGAGAAGUUUAAGGUCAUUAAUCAGAUACUCCACAAGCACAAUAUUAUUAAAAAAAAAAAACAAACCAAACCAAAACCAACCAACCAAACAACAAAAGGUUGGUUUUGGCUUUUCUUUUGAUUUUUGUUUUUUUUUCCUGCCCAUCUGCAGGAACCUGGCUCUCUUCCAGCUCAGCUGCUGCUCUGGUGAGAGCUAAAGGUGGAGAUAUUUUCUCUGUGGACCACCACACAGAAGAACUGCCCAAACCCUGCAGUGCAGCAGCCCUUCUUUUGGAAUAUUCUGCAAAAGUCGAGCUGUUGUGGGGAGAAUCCCUUGUUUAGGUUGUUUGGGGAACUGGAUGUGAGACCUUGUGAUAAAGAAAACAGCAGCCUUCAUCAUUUGCAUUCAGCCCCUCCAUUUGUAUAAUCAGAAAUCCCUCUCUGUGCACUGCCUAGAAGAGCAGAUGUAGCUAAAUCAUAGCUUUUGAAACUUGCUUUGCACGUGAGCUAUUUCUGAAUGGGGAGUGCCUUGUGUUCCUGGAAGCAGGGCCGGGGGAGGAAGCAAGAUUAUAAUGCAUCUGAAAUGUGGUCCCCAAACUGCGCUGGGACAUAGAUUCUUGCUCAGUGAGCUGAGGAGGACACCUGGAGAACCACUUUCACUUCUUGCCAAUUAAUUUCCCCCAGAGUUCUCCCAUUUUGAGCUUUUUAAGCUAUGUAGUAUCUGUCCAGGGGCUUUCAGCCUUUCAGCCUUGUGAAUAUUUUUGGUAUGAGUUGCAGCCCUGGGACAGCUUACCAUCCUGGUGUUAGACAGCUGUGAAUGCAGAUACUUCCCAACUGUGGUUAAAUGGAAGAAGAUUUGCUGUGGUGUUGUACAGUAUUUAGUUCUAGUCUCACUGCCUCUGAAAUUACUUUGUGGUAGGACUGUAAGAUUGGUUUCUCCCACCAAAGCUGUCAGGUGUGCUGCUGUUUGGCGAUGUUUCUGAAGUGUUCAGAAUUACCGUAGUCACUAGCAAGUGUGGCUGAGAAUUUAUGAACUUUAGUUUUGUAGCUUGGAUGGUUUCUCCGAGGCACAGGAAAUUUUCAAAGAGAGAACAAAUAAAUUCUUCCAUCAUCCUCCCUCUGCUUCAGUAACCCUAUGGCUGAAAAUUCCACAUUGUUAGAAUUCUGUCCUUCACAGGAGGCAGAGUCAGACUGGCAAGACUUCUCUAUAGACUGCUGUUUUCAUUUCCUACUUCCACACCUGCAGAGGCAGCACCUUGAAGCCAAAAAUAAGGGGGUUUAAUUUAUGUGUUUCUUGGAGUGUGGGCCUGAAAAGUUUUCAGUGAGCCACCAGGCAAUGAAGUUACAGUACAGCUGUUCUAAGAAUAAAGAAGACCUUGUAUAAAAAAGGGGAAAAAAUGCAGGUACAUGAGAAACAACAAUAUACUGCAACAAAACACCAGGUAAUAUUUGGAGGGACUAUUGCAAAGUAGCUGCGAUCAAUACAGAAGUUUCCAAGCCCUAGAAGAUGGUAUAGGCUAGUCUAAAUGAUGUUUUCACAGUUAACUUGGGGGGGGUCUGACUUCUCAGCGCAGCUGUGUCACAGUCCUUCCCUCAUGUUGGAAAACCCACUUAGGGCAAUAUUUUCCUUCAGAAUUCUAAUUUCAUCAGUUUUUUGUGUGUCUGUUCCUGUAGUCACAAAGGUUGUUUCUUUCCUUGCUUCUUUGGAAGGGAACAACAUAGAAUUAUAUAGAAUCACAGAAUGGUUUGGGUUGUAAGGGACCUUAAAGAUCAUCUAAUUCCUACACUCCUGCCGUGGGCAAGGACACUUUCCACUAGGCCAGGUUGCUCAAAGACAUAUACAGCUCUAACUGACGUGCUAAAGUUUCUAGAGUCCGGGUAUCUCUUAGGAAUCCAUAUCAGGAAGUUUAUUACUUAAUGUUCAAGCUGAGAAAGUCCUUGUUGAAAAUAAUGAUUCUUGUCUUUCAAAGUGAGAUACUGCCUGUCUUACAUAGUCUUGAUGAUUAAUUAAUUCAUCUUUUACUUGCUUUGGGAAUCUCAGAAGGAUUAAUAAUAAUUCAUCAUUUUUGAAACUCUGGUAUACAUUAUAACAUGAUUUUUGACAGAUUUGCAUAAUGUAUGACUAAACAAUUAGAAAUUUUGUACAUAUGCAUGACACUACAUGAAUAUACUUCUGAUCUUUCUCCAAUACCCUUGUAGACAUGUGGUUCUGCACAGUAGGUGGAAAAAACUGAAAUCUCCUUUUCUUUCAGCUCCCACUUAUGAACAGUUUAAAAAAGAAAUAGCUUUCCAUUCAGUAAUAAAAGAAAAAAAAACCAAGAAAUCUGUCUGUCUAUCAGGAAAUCUGAUAUGUGCUACACUUGCUAAAUCCUCUUUUCAUUGAAAUGGAUUAAGAGACCUCAUAGAGAAAUGUAAGUGAAAAAGUGUGAUAAUAAACUGCAUGCUUUAAAUAGAAGAUAGGAUUAUACUUAGUACUCUGAGAAAAAAAAAAAAAUGUUCUUUGUAUGGUGGAAGAAAAAGCAGUUCCAUGCUUCAAACCUUUAUCCUGGACUUGAGCUCUCUCUGAGUUUAAUGUUGAUACUUCUCAUGAGACGUCAAUGGACAGAGCUCACACUUCAUUCUUCGGAAUGCAGAUGAAACUUCAGCUGGCAUCAGUGACACUCACAACUGUAUACCAGUGGGCAGAAACUAGAUAUGAAAAACUCCUAUUGUAUGAAUUAUUAGUCAUAAUCUGCAAGUAAGAUCCUAGAUGAAAAGAUCCACAAACUAGAAGCAUUCAAAAAUGGUUCUGGAUCCAAGAUAUGCUCAAGGAAGUUUUGAUCCAGUGAACUAAAAUCUGUACACUAGACCUUGAAGACAAAAAAAAACCCCUUUCAAUUCUGGAUCUUCUUUACCCAUUUUGAUUUGACAUGGAUCGAGAUGCAAAAGAAAACCACUUGUGAUUCUGCUCCCUAUAUAAUAGCUCAAGUUGGCUGACCAAAGACCAGCUAAUGGGGAAAAGAACGUAAUUUGUUGACAAACAUUUCAAUUAACACGUGCAAAGUGUAUGUUUAAGCAUGCAAGUUUAGCAGCCUCAGUGGUCAAUUUGAGGGAGAAAAGGAAAUAAUGGUGAAAUUAAUCAUACUGACGCCUGCUUGUCUGAUGUUUUUGGCGUAUUGCAGAACAUGAACUACAACAAAAUUUGGCAAGAGAUUCUGAUUUGCAAUGAAAUCAUCUGUUUUGUAACAUGCUCUCCCCUAUCUUAUUAUUCGUUGGCAUGUUACACAUGUGGAGAUUAGAAGGUCAGAUUAAAAUAUUCAUUAGUCACCUAAAACACUUACAGCAUCUGACAAAGAAGAAAUCAAAUCUCAAAAAUCCCUUCCAGGGCAGGCUGUGAAAGGCUGCACUUGGUGCCAAAUGUGGGGCUGGUCAGACCUAUGUUUAGAAACCCAUGAUAAGUUCUAAACAGAGUUUGAUGAAAACCUGAUGCAAGUCUCUCCUUCCUCUGUCAUCUGCUGACAUUAAACUGUGAAGUUGCCUGUGAUGUCAGUUCUGAAUUAUUCCUUCUUGAUUGCUGACUCAAAGGCUGGAUGUUAAUGGAGAACUGAGAUUUUUAAGGUUCAUCAGAAAAAGCAUUAAAAAUCUGAAAAAUAUGCAUAACUCUCUGGCUGGAGUAUGCUCACAUGGCUUUUCUGUGCUCCGUUAACUAUUCUUUAACAGUAAUUUCGCAAGAGGUUGUUGUUUUUUUGUGUGUGUAUAUGUUUGUUGUUGUUGUUUUUGUUUGUUUGUAUUUUUUUCCAAGGGCUAAUUUAUUUUUUGUUCUUCUCUUCUCUCUCUGUCCAUGGAGAGUGACUAUUGGCAUGAACACAGAGAUUCUUUGCUUGAGUUUGAGUCUUUAAGGGAAAUUUCAUGUGGGAAAGGUGCUGACCACUCUGCACUAAUAAGAAAGCUUAAAAGGAAUGUUAACACUACUUUAGGGAACUUUGGAAUAUUUGAAAUAUUCAGAGGAAUGAGUCAACUGAAGCUAUGAGAUUUUGCUCUGGAAUCGGCUCAGACAAAAAUCACAAAAAUCACUGCAAAAUAACCCCCCAAACCUGCAGAGACACGUGUGCUUAACUUUAAUUCCAUUGGCUACUUGCUUGAUUAAAGACUUUGCUCUCUGUAAUCACAGUAAAGUUCUGACCAGAUCCAGGCUGGCAGUCCAGGUUUCACUUCUUCAGACAAUCAAAGGGUGCCUUUGUCUCAGCCUGUCUCACUUAAGAACAUGCUGCUUUUAAAACCGCUACUCUCUCAUUACCCAGGCUUUUUCUUGUCCUAUUAUUGCCUCUGAACAACCUUUCCCUGUCCAGAGAAAAGUGACUUACCUGUCCCUACUUUUUCUGUCCUGGCUGUUUUUUCCCGCUAGUCAACGAAGCCAAUGUAUCUGCACAGAAACUAUUCCAAUAAGCAGGUCAACAUUCAA
Columba livia (rock pigeon) is the source of this 22103-nucleotide long non-coding RNA. RefSeq lists it as uncharacterized. Lineage: Eukaryota; Metazoa; Chordata; Aves; Columbiformes; Columbidae. The transcript has 3 exons. The record is from RefSeq and is a predicted model, not a curated record.